RNAcentral lists this unclassified non-coding RNA (595 nucleotides) under Agrostis tandilensis. RNAcentral's name for it is "Bromidium tandilense sequence contains ITS1, 5.8S rRNA gene, ITS2". The record is from RNAcentral. Lineage: Eukaryota; Viridiplantae; Streptophyta; Magnoliopsida; Poales; Poaceae.
UCGUGACCCUGACCAAAAUAGACCGCGCACGCGUCAUCCAGCCUGCCGGCGGCGGCACCGCCCGUCGCUCGGCCAAGUCCUUGAGAACCUCCUCUCCUCGGAGUGGGGGCUCGGGGUAAAAGAACCCACGACGCCUAAGGCGUCAAGGAACACUGYGCCUAGCCCGGGGACGCGGACGGCUUGCUGGCCGCCCCCCGUGCUGCAAUGCUAUUAAAUCCACACGACUCUCGGCAACGGAUAUCUCGGCUCUCGCAUCGAUGAAGAACGUAGCGAAAUGCGAUACCUGGUGUGAAUUGCAGAAUCCCGCGAACCAUCGAGUCUUUGAACGCAAGUUGCGCCCGAGGCCACUCGGCUGAGGGCACGCCUGCCUGGGCGUCACGCAAAACACGCUCCCACCCCCUCAUCGGGUAGCGGGACGCGGCAUGUGGCCCCCCGUAGCGCAAGCUGCGGUGGGCCGAAGAUAUGGCUGCCGGCGUAUCGUGCCGGAAACAGCGCGUGGUGGGCGACCUCGCUUUACUUACCGCAGUGCAUCCGGUGCGUAGCCGACGUGAUGGCCUCUAAGGACCCUUUGAACGGUGCGCACGACGCUCCGACC